This 597-nucleotide ribosomal RNA is filed under the name Ozoroa insignis. Its description in RNAcentral is "eukaryotic LSU rRNA". The stretch from base 266 to 421 matches the Rfam family "5.8S ribosomal RNA". The record is from RNAcentral. Lineage: Eukaryota; Viridiplantae; Streptophyta; Magnoliopsida; Sapindales; Anacardiaceae.
GUUUCCGUAGGUGAACCUGCGGAAGGAUCAUUGUCGAAACCUGCCCAGCAGAACGACCCGCNAACCCGUNUUUWACAUCGGGGGCCUGCGGGCCUCGUGCCCGUGCGCUCCCGCCCGCGCGCCGCGUUUGGGCGUCCGCCCUCUCGCGGUGCGUUAACGAACCCCGGCGCGAAUCGCGUCAAGGAAACCUGAACGAGAGAGCCCGCUCCCGUCGCCCCGGACACGGUGUGCGCGGGACGCGCGGCCUUCUUUCAUUAUCUAUAACGACUCUCGGCAACGGAUAUCUCGGCUCUCGCAUCGAUGAAGAACGUAGCGAAAUGCGAUACUUGGUGUGAAUUGCAGAAUCCCGUGAACCAUCGAGUCUUUGAACGCAAGUUGCGCCCCAAGCCGUUAGGCCGAGGGCACGUCUGCCUGGGUGUCACGCAUCGUUGCCCCCAUCCACGGAUCCUCUGGUUACCGUGGCUGCGGGCGGAAGAUGGCCUCCCGUGUGCUCGCGCACGCGGUUGGCCCAAAAACCGAGUUCUCGGUGACGCCGCCCCGCGACAAUCGGUGGAGUUUGAAACAUAACCUAGUGAUCGUGUCGCCGGGUCGCGCUCU